CAAGUCGAACGAGAAAGUGGAGCAAUCCAUGAGUAAAGUGGCGCACGGGUGAGUAACACGUGACUAACCUACCUUUUAGUGGGGGAUAACCUAGGGAAACCUGGGCUAAUACCGCAUAAUACCUACGGGUCAAAGCAGCAAUGCGCUGAUAGAGGGGGUCGCGGUCGAUUAGUUAGUUGGCAGGGUAAUGGCCUACCAAGACUGUGAUCGAUAUCCGGCCUGAGAGGGCGCACGGACACACUGGAACUGAAACACGGUCCAGACUCCUACGGGAGGCAGCAGUGGGGAAUUUUGCGCAAUGGGGGAAACCCUGACGCAGCAACGCCGCGUGGAGGAUGAAGUCCCUUGGGACGUAAACUCCUUUCGAUCGGGACGAUUAUGACGGUACCGGAAGAAGAAGCCCCGGCUAACUUCGUGCCAGCAGCCGCGGUAAUACGAGGGGGGCAAGCGUUGUUCGGAAUUAUUGGGCGUAAAGGGUGCGUAGGUGGUUCGGCAAGUCUUGUGUGAAAUCUUCAGGCUCAACUUGAAGUCUGCACAAGAAACUGCCGGGCUUGAGUAUGGGAGAGGUGAGUGGAAUUUCCGGUGUAGCGGUGAAAUGCGUAGAUAUCGGAAGGAACACCUGUGGCGAAAGCGGCUCACUGGACCAUUACUGACACUGAGGCACGAAAGCUAGGGGAGCAAACAGGAUUAGAUACCCUGGUAGUCCUAGCCCUAAACGAUGAUCGCUUGGUGUGGCGGGUAUCCAACCCUGCCGUGCCGCAGCUAACGCGUUAAGCGAUCCGCCUGGGGAGUACGGUCGCAAGGCUGAAACUCAAAGGAAUUGACGGGGGCCCGCACAAGCGGUGGA
RNAcentral lists this ribosomal RNA (847 nucleotides) under uncultured Acidobacteriaceae bacterium. RNAcentral describes it as "bacterial SSU rRNA". It matches the Rfam family "Bacterial small subunit ribosomal RNA", at positions 58 to 936 of the family's 1533-position model. Lineage: Bacteria; Pseudomonadati; Acidobacteriota; Terriglobia; Terriglobales; Acidobacteriaceae. The record is from RNAcentral.